RNAcentral lists this ribosomal RNA (426 nucleotides) under uncultured bacterium. RNAcentral's name for it is "bacterial SSU rRNA". It matches the Rfam family "Bacterial small subunit ribosomal RNA", at positions 354 to 796 of the family's 1533-position model. The record is from RNAcentral.
GUGGGGAAUCUUGCACAAUGGGCGAAAGCCUGAUGCAGCGAUUCCGCGUGGAGGAUGAAGCAUUACGGUGUGUAAACUCCUUUUCUGGUGGAAGACGAAUGACGGUACACCAGGAAUAAGGGACGGCUAACUACGUGCCAGCAGCCGCGGUAAUACGUAGGUCCCAAGCGUUAUCCGGAUUUACUGGGCGUAAAGUGUCCGUAGCCCGACAACCAAGUCUGUUUUCAAAUACCACGACUCAAUCGUGGGAAGGGAAUAGAUACUGUUUGUCUAGAGAAUAUUGGAGGUUAGUGGAAUUUCCGGUGGAGCGGUGAAAUGCGUUGAUAUCGGAAAGAACGCCGAAAGCGAAAGCAGCUAACUAUGAUUAUUCUGACGGUGAGGGACGACAGCUUGAGGAGCAAACGGGAUUAGAAACCCUAGUAGUCC